UUUAUGGAGAGUUUGAUCCUGGCUCAGGAUGAACGCUGGCGGCGUGCCUAAUACAUGCAAGUCGAGCGAACGGACGAGAAGCUUGCUUCUCUGAUGUUAGCGGCGGACGGGUGAGUAACACGUGGAUAACCUACCUAUAAGACUGGGAUAACUUCGGGAAACCGGAGCUAAUACCGGAUAAUAUUUUGAA
This 190-nucleotide ribosomal RNA is filed under the name Staphylococcus aureus. Its description in RNAcentral is "partial 16S ribosomal RNA". It matches the Rfam family "Bacterial small subunit ribosomal RNA", at positions 1 to 185 of the family's 1533-position model. The record is from RNAcentral. Lineage: Bacteria; Bacillati; Bacillota; Bacilli; Caryophanales; Staphylococcaceae.